Molecule: ribosomal RNA, 446 nt
Filed under: uncultured bacterium
Lineage: Bacteria
Description: partial 16S ribosomal RNA
Rfam family: Bacterial small subunit ribosomal RNA
Source: RNAcentral
AACGAACGCUGGCGGCAGGCCUAACACAUGCAAGUCGAGCGCUCUAGCAAUAGGGAGCGGCGCACGGGUGAGUAACGCGUAGGAAUCUACCUUGUAGUACGGAACAACAGUUGGAAACGGCUGCUAAUACCGUAUACGCCCUUCGGGGGAAAGUAGUUCGCUAUAAGAUGAGCCUGCGUUAGAUUAGCUAGUUGGUGAGGUAAUGGCUCACCAAGGCUCCGCUCUAUAGCUGGUCUGAGAGGAUGAUCAGCCACACUGGGACUGAGACACGGCCCAGACUCCUACGGGAGGCAGCAGUGGGGAAUAUUGGGCAAUGGGCGCAAGCCUGACCCAGCCAUGCCGCGUGAGUGAUGACGGCCUUAGGGUUGUAAAGCUCUUAGUGGUGAGGAUGAUGACGGUAACCACAGAAAAAGCCCCGGCUAACUUCGUGCCAGCAGCCGCCGUAA